AAUUACCCAAUCCUGACACGGGGAGGUAGUGACAAUAAAUAUCAAUGCUUUUCGUUUUCACGAUUAGUAAUUGGAAUGAGAACAAUCUAAACCCCUUAUCGAGUAACAAUUAGAGGGCAAGUCUGGUGCCAGCAGCCGCGGUAAUUCCAGCUCUAAUAGCGUAUAUUAAAGUUGUUGCUGUUAAAAAGCUCGUAGUUGGAUCUUGGGUCGUAAAGGUCGGUCCGCCUACUCGGUGUGCACCUGCCCUUCCGUCCCUUUUGUCGGCGGCGUGCUCCUGGCCUUAAUUGGCUGGGUCGCGGCUCCGGCGCUGUUACUUUGAAAAAAUUAGAGUGCUCAAAGCAAGCUUAUGCUCUGAAUACAUUAGCAUGGAAUAACGUGAUAGGAGUCUGGUCCUAUUGUGUUGGCCUUCGGGACCGGAGUAAUGAUUAAUAGGGACUGUCGGGGGCAUUCGUAUUUCAUUGUCAGAGGUGAAAUUCUUGGAUUUAUGA
Molecule: ribosomal RNA, 488 nt
Filed under: Euplotes focardii
Lineage: Eukaryota; Ciliophora; Spirotrichea; Euplotida; Euplotidae
Description: partial Eukaryotic small subunit ribosomal RNA
Rfam family: Eukaryotic small subunit ribosomal RNA
Source: RNAcentral